Molecule: long non-coding RNA, 1118 nt
Filed under: Equus caballus (horse)
Lineage: Eukaryota; Metazoa; Chordata; Mammalia; Perissodactyla; Equidae
Description: lncRNA (ENSECAG00000053087.1)
Source: RNAcentral
CUGGGGAAACCUGCAGGUACCAAGCCUCGCUCUGGUUCUCAACAUCCUCCCGCAGGGCAGAAUCCCUGGGACAGUGGCUUUCCCUGGGGAAGCCUGGCUGUUCCAGGGUCAUCUCUUGGAGAGGGGACCUGGUCGCCAUCAUGGUGAUGUGUCCUGAGUGCUGACCGCCCUGUGCUGAGCCUGUUCCUGGCCUUGCUCACAAAGUUACUACACUGCCUUUAGCAAGGGUGCUGUACUGGUGGCCCGCUGGUGCUGGUGGCCAGCAGGGGGAUGUGGCUUUACAGGCGUCCAGCCCUGGGGAACCACAGGCUGGAGCGCUCACCUCAGCUGGACUUCUGCUUUCCUCGGACUGAGGACCUCGAGGGACCUCAGGAGCUUGCUUAGCCUCAAGCUGGCCCAGGGCAGUGAGGGAGUGAACACCCCUGGGCCUCCCUCUGUGGGGUGGGGCUGGUUGUCAGGUGCCCAGCGUCCUGGUCCUCCUGGCUCGAGUCUCAGGUGGGCUCCUGCAGCUCCUUAGUGGGUCCCCAGAGGGAUUCAGUGCAGGUGCCCCUCCUCUCAACACACCCUCCUCUGUUCCCUCUCCCUGAUCCUUUCCUCAAGGGCACUUCCCUGGACCCCCUGCUCCCAAGGGCUCAGUGACGGCUCUGCUUCUGUGGGCCCUGGGUUAAACGGGUUCCUGAGGUGCCCUUCUCGGGGGCAAGGCCUGCAGUGCUCAGGCAGGCACGUGCCUCCUUGACCAUGGCCCGGGGACAGCUCCGAGCUUUUCCAGAAUUGUCUACGUGAAGACAGGUUUUGAGCCAACAUGUGCACACUGUAUCGCUGACCCCCACCACAGCCUCAGUCUGGGUACCACCGACCCUUCAUCUCACAUGUGGGGCAUGUCCAUGUCACCCCAAAUGGUGGACAGAAUAAGUGACCAAACUGGGACGCUCUGUCUGGGACAAGUGCUCAGCUGGACAAUGAGGGUCAACUGGGACCAUCCUUGGUGCAGGGUGGCUGGAGGGACGGGGCCCCCAGGCAGCACUCGAUGUGUGUGCCUGCUGUGUGUGUAAAUACGGGCAGGGGUCACUCUCUCCCAGCACUCCCGGAAGGUGACAGAUGACACACUGAUGACUCAG